RNAcentral lists this ribosomal RNA (813 nucleotides) under Tylenchus sp. TylS. RNAcentral describes it as "SSU rRNA". It matches the Rfam family "Eukaryotic small subunit ribosomal RNA", at positions 96 to 919 of the family's 1831-position model. Lineage: Eukaryota; Metazoa; Nematoda; Chromadorea; Rhabditida; Tylenchidae. The record is from RNAcentral.
GCUCAUUAUAACAGCUAUAAUUUACUUGAUCUUGACAACCUACUUGGAUAACUGUGGUAAUUCUAGAGCUAAUACAUGCACCAAAGCUCUGACCUUACGGGAAGAGCGCAUUUAUUAGAACAAAACCAAGCGACCUCGGUCGUUUUUUGUUGACUCAGAAUAACUAAGCUGAUCGCACGGUCAUGCACCGGCGACGUGUCUUUCAAGUAUCUGCCUUAUCAACUUUCGAUGGUAGUGUAUCUGACUACCAUGGUGGUGACGGGUAACGGAGGAUAAGGGUUCGACUCCGGAGAAGGGGCCUGAGAAAUGGCCACUACGUCUAAGGAUGGCAGCAGGCGCGCAAAUUACCCACUCUCAGAACGAGGAGGUAGUGACGAAAAAUAACGAGACCGUUCUCUACGAAGCCAGUUAUCGGAAUGGGUACAAUUUAAACCCUUUAACGAGUAUCUAUGAGAGGGCAAGUCUGGUGCCAGCAGCCGCGGUAAUUCCAGCUCUCAAAAUGCAUAGAAUUAUUGCUGCGGUUAGAAAGCUCGUAGUUGGAUCUGUGCCAGGGACUUGGUCCACCUUCGGGUGCGUACUGAGCUCCCUGGCUUUUUGCCGGUUUUCUCGUCGUAGCCUUUACUGGUUGCGGCGGGUGGCUGGCAAUUUUACUUUGAACAAAUCAGAGUGCUUAACACAGGCGUUUCGCUUGAAUGUUCGUGCAUGGAAUAAUAGAAAAGGAUUUCGGUUCUAUUUUAUUGGUUUUAUAGACUGAGAUAAUGGUUAACAGAGACAAACGGGGGCAUUCGUAUCGCUGCGUGAGAGGUGAAAUUC